CGGUCAGCGGCUCGUCUCCGUGGCCUGGAGGCUAAGCGAACGGGUUGGGCUGCGCGUGUACCCCGGUUCGAAUCUCGGAUCAGGCUGGAGCCGCAGCUAACGUGGUACUGGCACUCCCGUCUCGACCCAGGCCUGCACAAAACCUCCAGGAUACGGAGGCGGGUCGUUUUUUUGCUUUUUCCUGGAUGGGAGCCAGUGCUGCGUCAAGCUUUAGAACACUCAGUUCUCGGGGCUGGGAGUGGCUCGCGCCCGUAGUCUGGAGAAUUAAUCGCCAGGGUUGCGUUGCGGUGUGCCCCGGUUCGAGUCUUAGCGCGCCGGAUCGGCCGGUUUCCGCGACGUUUCUAAGACCCCGCCAGCCGACUUCUCCAGUUUACGGGAGCGAGCCCUCUUUUUUUUUUUUUUUUUUUUUUGUGCCCCAAAGGCCCCCGGGGCG
Molecule: unclassified non-coding RNA, 433 nt
Filed under: Human mastadenovirus B
Lineage: Varidnaviria; Bamfordvirae; Preplasmiviricota; Pharingeaviricetes; Rowavirales; Adenoviridae
Source: RNAcentral